Molecule: ribosomal RNA, 239 nt
Filed under: uncultured bacterium
Lineage: Bacteria
Description: partial 16S ribosomal RNA
Rfam family: Bacterial small subunit ribosomal RNA
Source: RNAcentral
CGAUCCAGGGAGUGGCGCACGGGUGAGUAACGCGUGGGAACCUGCCCCGAGGUACGGAACAACGGCUGGAAACGGCCGCUAAUACCGUAUGUGUCCCGAGGGAGAAAGGCUUGUCCGCCUUGGGAGGGGCCCGCGUCCGAUUAGCUAGUAGGCGGGGUAACGGCCCACCUAGGCGACGAUCGGUAGCUGGUCUGAGAGGAUGAUCAGCCACACUGGGACUGAGACACGGCCCAGACUCC